AAGUCGUAACAAGGUUUCCGUAGGUGAACCUGCGGAAGGAUCAUUACAUUUAGUAGCCUAGCCGCUAGUCAUGUUCAGGGGUUUCGGGGUUUAGCCCGUUGCAAUGCCAUGGCCAUUUAAAGUCCGCUUUAAUCGGCAUUGGAAGUGACGACGCAAGGCAAGCCCCCCAUCCCCCGUUUUGGUUUGUAACCCCCUUUGGUUUUUUUGCGUACCAAAGUUUCCUCGGCGGGCUUGCUCGCCGGAUGGACAAUACUAUAACCUUUUUAAUAUUCAAUCAGCGUCUGAAAACUUGAAUAAUUACAA
RNAcentral lists this unclassified non-coding RNA (303 nucleotides) under plant metagenome. RNAcentral's name for it is "partial contains small subunit ribosomal RNA and internal transcribed spacer 1". The stretch from base 1 to 46 matches the Rfam family "Eukaryotic small subunit ribosomal RNA", at positions 1786 to 1831 of the family's 1831-position model. The record is from RNAcentral.